CGUGACGACGAGGCACUACGGUGCUGAAGCAACAAAUGCCCUGCUUCCAGGAAAAGCCUCUAAGCAUCAGGUAACAUCAAAUCGUACCCCAAACCGACACAGGUGGUCAGGUAGAGAAUACCAAGGCGCUUGAGAGAACUCGGGUGAAGGAACUAGGCAAAAUGGUGCCGUAACUUCGGGAGAAGGCACGCUGACACGUAGGUGAAGUGAUUUACUCAUGGAGCUGAAGUCAGUCGAAGAUACCAGCUGGCUGCAACUGUUUAUUAAAAACACAGCACUGUGCAAACACGAAAGUGGACGUAUACGGUGUGACGCCUGCCCGGUGCCGGAAGGUUAAUUGAUGGGGUCAGCGCAAGCGAAGCUCCUGAUCGAAGCCCCGGUAAACGGCGGCCGUAACUAUAACGGUCCUAAGGUAGCGAAAUUCCUUGUCGGGUAAGUUCCGACCUGCACGAAUGGCGUAAUGAUGGCCAGGCUGUCUCCACCCGAGACUCAGUGAAAUUGAACUCGCUGUGAAGAUGCAGUGUACCCGCGGCAAGACGGAAAGACCCCGUGAACCUUUACUAUAGCUUGACACUGAACAUUGAGCCUUGAUGUGUAGGAUAGGUGGGAGGCUUUGAAGUGUGGACGCCAGUCUGCAUGGAGCCGACCUUGAAAUACCACCCUUUAAUGUUUGAUGUUCUAACGUGGACCCGUUACCCGGGUUGCGGACAGUGUCUGGUGGGUAGUUUGACUGGGGCGGUCUCCUCCUAAAGAGUAACGGAGGAGCACGAAGGUUGGCUAAUCCUGGUCGGACAUCAGGAGGUUAGUGCAAUGGCAUAAGCCAGCUUGACUGCGAGCGUGACGGCGCGAGCAGGUGCGAAAGCAGGUCAUAGUGAUCCGGUGGUUCUGAAUGGAAGGGCCAUCGCUCAACGGAUAAAAGGUACUCCGGGGAUAACAGGCUGAUACCGCCCAAGAGUUCAUAUCGACGGCGGUGUUUGGCACCUCGAUGUCGGCUCAUCACAUCCUGGGGCUGAAGUAGGUCCCAAGGGUAUGGCUGUUCGCCAUUUAAAGUGGUACGCGAGCUGGGUUUAGAACGUCGUGAGACAGUUCGGUCCCUAUCUGCCGUGGGCGCUGGAGAACUGAGGGGGGCUGCUCCUAGUACGAGAGGACCGGAGUGGACGCAUCACUGGUGUUCGGGUUGUCAUGCCAAUGGCACUGCCCGGUAGCUAAAUGCGGAAGAGAUAAGUGCUGAAAGCAUCUAAGCACGAAACUUGCCCCGAGAUGAGUUCUCCCUGAGACUUAGAGUCUCCUGAAGGAACGUUGAAGACGACGACGUUGAUAGGCCGGGUGUGUAAGCGCAGCGAUGCGUU
Molecule: ribosomal RNA, 1349 nt
Filed under: Salmonella enterica subsp. enterica serovar Enteritidis
Lineage: Bacteria; Pseudomonadati; Pseudomonadota; Gammaproteobacteria; Enterobacterales; Enterobacteriaceae
Description: partial 23S ribosomal RNA
Rfam family: Bacterial large subunit ribosomal RNA
Source: RNAcentral